RNAcentral lists this long non-coding RNA (423 nucleotides) under Homo sapiens (human). Its description in RNAcentral is "HSALNT0324681". Lineage: Eukaryota; Metazoa; Chordata; Mammalia; Primates; Hominidae. The record is from RNAcentral.
CGUCCGGGCUGCACUCAAACCAGAAGCCCUGUCCAAGGUGCACUCAGUAGGACCCGGCCAUACCAUAAGGCCCCACCAGGGACCUGCUGGAAGGCUCUGGAGCCACUCACGCAGGGCCCUCGGUUUCGUGUGGCCCAAGCCAACUUCUGAGGAGGGGCUGUUUCUUCACCCCAAGACUGCGUCCCUCUGAGCCGCCCCUCCUGUUCUCUGCAAUCCUUCCAGUUCCUUCUGCCUGAGGAAGGACGUAUGUCCAGCUCCACUGCGAGCCUGGCACCCGCCCUGGGAGGUGAAAUUUCCACAACACAGAAAGAACAGAAAGUAGAAGCUGUUAAGCUCAGGACCGCAGGAUGGAGUAGCAGAGGGAGGCCGUGUCAGAGAUGACGCGCAGGAAAAAUGUGGGGUUCUUCCAAACUUGCUGAUGAA